UUGGAGGGCAAGUCUGGUGCCAGCAGCCGCGGUAAUUCCAGCUCCAAUAGCGUAUAUUAAAGUUGUUGCAGUUAAAAAGCUCGUAGUUGAACCUCGGGGUCUACCCAUUGGUCAGGCUUAAUUGUCUGCACUGGUGAGAUGGAUCUCUACCUUCUGAGGAACUUUCAUGCCAUUUAUUUGGUGUGAUGGGAAAUCAGGACUGUUACUUUGAAACAAUUAGAGUGUUUAAAGCAGACUAUCGUCUGAAUACAUUAGCAUGGAAUAAUGAAAUAGGACGGACUGAUUCUAUUUCGUUGGUUUCUAGGAUCACCGUAAUGAUUAAUAGGGAUAGUUGGGGGCAUUAGUAUUCAAUUGUCAGAGGUGAAAUUCUUGGAUUUAUUGAAGACUAACUACUGCGAAAGCAUUUGCCAAGGAUGUUUUCAUUAAUCAAGAACGAAAGUUAGGGGAUCGAAGACGAUCAGAUACCGUCGUAGUCUUAACCAUAAACUAUGCCGACUAGGGAUCGGAUGAUGUUAAUUUUUUAAUGACUCAUUCGGCGCCUUACGGGAAACCAAAGUGUUUGGGUUC
Molecule: ribosomal RNA, 567 nt
Filed under: uncultured Glomeromycotina
Lineage: Eukaryota; Fungi; Glomeromycota
Description: SSU rRNA
Rfam family: Eukaryotic small subunit ribosomal RNA
Source: RNAcentral